RNAcentral lists this ribosomal RNA (433 nucleotides) under uncultured bacterium. RNAcentral's name for it is "partial 16S ribosomal RNA". It matches the Rfam family "Bacterial small subunit ribosomal RNA", at positions 29 to 507 of the family's 1533-position model. The record is from RNAcentral.
AACGAACGCUGGCGGCAUGCCUAACACAUGCAAGUCGAACGAGACCUUCGGGUCUAGUGGCGCACGGGUGCGUAACGCGUGGGAACCUGCCCUUAGGUUCGGAAUAACUCCCCGAAAGGGGUGCUAAUACCGGAUAAUGUCUUCGGACCAAAGAUUUAUCGCCUUUGGAUGGGCCCGCGUUGGAUUAGCUAGUUGGUAGGGUAAAAGCCUACCAAGGCGACGAUCCAUAGCUGGUCUGAGAGGAUGAUCAGCCACACUGGGACUGAGACACGGCCCAGACUCCUACGGGAGGCAGGAGUGGGGGAUAUUGGAAAAUGGGCGGAAGCCUGAUCCAGCAAUGCCGCGUGAGUGAUGAAAGCCUUAGGGUUGUAAAGCUCUUUUACCCGGGAUGAUAAUGACAGUACCGGGAGAAUAAGCUCCGGCUAACUCCGUG